UCAUAUGCAACCACCAGUGAUUAAUCCAGCAAUGACAUCUGGAUGUUAUUGUCUCUUGUUAUCAUGUGUAGCAACUUUUUUUUUUAUUUUUUCGCUAACUUUUGGCUACUACUAUGUUGGCUAAUAUAAACUUUUCAAUGGAUGGAUCGAACGAUUCUUGUUCUAGUAAUGGUGUAGAACGAUGAAGUAUCCAUGACUGUGUUUGUUCGUUUGAAUCACUAUUCUUAUCCAAA
This 233-nucleotide long non-coding RNA is filed under the name Capsella rubella. RNAcentral describes it as "long non-coding RNA (CRUB_LNC003525)". Lineage: Eukaryota; Viridiplantae; Streptophyta; Magnoliopsida; Brassicales; Brassicaceae. The record is from RNAcentral.